Molecule: long non-coding RNA, 921 nt
Organism: Apis mellifera (honey bee)
Lineage: Eukaryota; Metazoa; Arthropoda; Insecta; Hymenoptera; Apidae
Exons: 2
Source: RefSeq, a predicted model, not a curated record
GAGAUAAAGUAAGUUUGGAAUAUUUUUUUUCAAGGUUUCGAGGAAAAAGUCUGAUGCAAAGGCUUCGUUCCUGAGGUGAAACUUUUUUCAGCAACGAAAACACGUUCAAAGAAUAAUAAACUACUACGUACUUUCAUUACUAACGAAUCGCUCCCAGUUUUCAUCGGUCAGAUUGCCCCAGGAGCCGUCCUCGGGAAAGUUCUUUAUACACUUUUGCGUGAGCACCCCCAUGUAAAUCUGGAGGCCCAUCAGCGCAAAGACGGAAAGAGAGAACAUCGUCAAGAUUAUCACAUCGCGCAGGUUCUUCACGGAUUCUAUCACAGCGCCGACAAUGGUUUUCAGACCUGGCGAACGAAACAAAAAAGGGGACCAGAUGGAUUGCGUGUGGAAAAAGAGAGAAAGAUAGAUAGAUGAUAAUGGAUCAAUCGAAGAAACGGAUGGAAGGAUCGUCAAAUUAAUAUAUUGUCUCUUUUCGUAAAAAAAAAAGAAAAAAAUGGAAGGAAGAAUCAUCGAUGGAAUGAAAAAUAAGAAACAAGAAGAAGAAAACAGAUGCUGUUAGCGGAAGGAUAAAGGCUGCUUCUUCGAAAAUUGAAAAAAAAAAAAAAAAAAAAAAAAAAAGAAUCGUGACGUUCAAUUCAAGUGGAAUGAUGCUUGAUCCGAUGAUUCGUGUCGAAGGAUGCAAGAAGGCUGGCGAGCAAAAAGAAUGACGCACGAAAAAAUGUAUGGAUGAGUGAUAUAGGCGUUUCGUUCAGACAGACAGAUAGACAUAAUAGUGAAAUAGGCUAAAUAGAUAUAAAAAUACAGAGAGGUAAUCAUUAUAAUAGAAUAAUAGGCGUUGUGUCGGUGAUGAUAUGCGACAGAAUGUAUGUGUGUAACAGCGAGCCGCGGCAAAAGUGUAUUUAUCUAUUUAAAAAAAAAAAA